RNAcentral lists this ribosomal RNA (468 nucleotides) under uncultured bacterium. Its description in RNAcentral is "partial 16S ribosomal RNA". It matches the Rfam family "Bacterial small subunit ribosomal RNA", at positions 28 to 507 of the family's 1533-position model. The record is from RNAcentral.
GACGAACGCUGGCGGCGUGCUUAACACAUGCAAGUCGAACGGAAAGGCCCUGCUUUUGUGGGGUGCUCGAGUGGCGAACGGGUGAGUAACACGUGAGUAACCUGCCCUUGACUUUGGUAUAACUUCAGGAAACUGGGGCUACUACCGGAUAGGAGCUCCUGCUGCAUGGUGGGGGUUGGAACGUUUCGGCGGUUGGGGAUGGACUCGCGGCUUAUCAGCUUGUUGGUGGGGUAGUGGCUUACCAAGGGUUUGACGGGUAGCCGGCCUGGGAGGGUGACCGGCCACAUUGGGACUGAGAUACGGCCCAGACGCCUACGGGAGGCAGCAGUGGGGAAUAUGGCACAAUGGGCGGAAGCCUGAUGCAGCAACGCCGCGUGCGGGAUGACGGCCUUCGGGUUGUAAACCGCUUUCGCCUGUGACGAAGCGUGAGUGACGGUAAUGGGUAAAGAAGCACCGGCUAACUACGUG